Long non-coding RNA from Astatotilapia calliptera (eastern happy), 1320 nucleotides. NCBI's taxonomy places the organism in Eukaryota, Metazoa, Chordata, Actinopteri, Cichliformes, Cichlidae. The record is from Ensembl.
GAGCAUCCACCAGCUGAGAACAAUACGGAGACAAAAAAUAGCCCGAAGCAGAGAAGCAUCUGAAGCUCAUUUAAGUCAAUGAGUGAGUGGCUGACGGUGGUGAAGGGUGGGGUGAGACUCUGUUCCUCCCCUGCACACCCUGGCCUCAAAGCUCCAGUGACUUGGUAUAAACUUUUUUACGAGCAAUUUUAAAGAACAAUCAGGAUCUAGAUAAAACUCCCGAAGUGUUUGGCUUCUUUAAUUCAGAAAAGAUGACGUGCAGGAGGCAGGACAAGUAGAAAUCAAUUUUUAGCUUUGGGAGACGGUUUCACCUCUAAAAACAAGAAGGAAAAAAAUCAAUGUAAGUGUUUUCUUGAAACAAGAUAUUUGAAUGCAAUCAAUGAAAAAGUCUAGCACUGCAUCCUAAAGUAUUACCUUGUUCUCCACUUUGCAAGAUCGGGCUGACAGUUUUACCGCAUAAUUGUUCAAACAUGUAGUGGCGGAUUGAGUACUUGGACAACAAAACAUAUAUUCAGCUUACUAUUUCAUUUGGACAAGUUUAGAUCAGAGGAAAAAGAAGAAGCAGAGAUUUUCAGAAUCAAUUUUUUUUUUCUGAUGUAGGCUAAACUAACUAAUUUGGGGCGUGGGGACAGGAGAAUAAACAAUAAUGAUGACAAACAUGAUUUUUAAUGGAGAAACUGAUACUUCGCAGUUUGUUCCAUGAAGAUAAUGUAAUUAAAAUAAUGGUUCAUCAGUCAGUCUUUGACAAGUGGACAGAGUGCAGCUCUGCAGUGCUCCACUUUAUGUCUACAGGUUCAGCUCCUCCGCCUUCAGCCAGCCAUCAGGGGGUUCCUCUCUUAGCUCCAUGGCAUAAUUGGCAAACCGUGCGGUGUCAUCUUACCCUUCUCUUUUCAGUGCAGCCUUUUCCCCUCCUCCCUCCCUUCCCCAAAUGGAAAGGGUGGAGAGUAAGGCAGUCUUUCAAAUGUUAGUUUGGUUUGCUGUAACAGCCCAUUGACAGUUUGGCGCAAAAAACAAGCUCCAUACUGAGCUUCAUAUAUCUGGGUCAGGGUCUGCUAAUGCUAGCUAUAUUUGAUCUACGUGGAUGUCAUCAGUGGACCUUUGCAGAGGCUCUUUUGCUUUUUGUGCUGAUUGGCCAUUAAAACAGAGAAUGGAUAUAUCACGCACGUAUAACGCCUAACCGUCUGGGCAUGAAUCUAAGGAUUUGACAUGUUCUUAAUUGUGUGUGCACACCUGCUGACUCAUCACUGAAAUGCGUCGUUGUUUAUCUAGCAUUCAUAUUUGCUUGUGUGUAAUGCAAAUAAAUACUUUUAAAAGACCGAU